Molecule: long non-coding RNA, 371 nt
Filed under: Homo sapiens (human)
Lineage: Eukaryota; Metazoa; Chordata; Mammalia; Primates; Hominidae
Description: HSALNT0262506
Source: RNAcentral
ACGGUGAAUAGUUGGCCCUGUGAGGCCUAGUGUGACCUGUGAGGCCUGUGGGUUUAGUGGGGUCUGGGGUGACCCUGUAGGACCUGUAGGUUAAGCGGGGCCUCGGGUGACCCUGUAGGGCCUGUGACUUGAUUGGGGUCCAGUGUGACCUGGGGCUGCCUGGUGAGUCUCCAUGGUGUAUCGUGUGAGUUCUGUGAUGUCUAUGAACUCCAAAGAGGCCUAACAACUCCACGAGUCCUGUGGGCCCCACGAGGGGCCUCCGGGGGGUAGGGGAGGCCCAGGGAGGCCCAACGCAGUGGCUGUGGCUCCUGCGGCCCAGGCUGCUCAGGACGUUCCUGGGAGGCCGGUGAGGCACUCGGAGGCGGCCUGGG